This 283-nucleotide long non-coding RNA is filed under the name Nicotiana benthamiana. RNAcentral describes it as "long non-coding RNA (NBEN_LNC041026)". The record is from RNAcentral. Lineage: Eukaryota; Viridiplantae; Streptophyta; Magnoliopsida; Solanales; Solanaceae.
AAUUAACUACAAACUGACUACGAUUAACUACAAACUGACUACAAUUAACUACAAAACUGAAUACAAUUAACUACAAACUAACUACAAUUAACUACAAACUGAAUACAAGUAACUACAAUUAACUACAAAACUGACCACAAGCAACUACAAACUGACUAUAAUUAACUACAACCUUACUACAAGUAUUUUAUUUCUAUAAUUUUAUCCAAUGUAUCAAUCGAAAAUUGUUAUGCAAUUGUAGACUGGAGAAUUCCGUAGCUUGCAUUAUCAUCAACCAAAAUGG